Molecule: long non-coding RNA, 2562 nt
Organism: Nothobranchius furzeri (turquoise killifish)
Lineage: Eukaryota; Metazoa; Chordata; Actinopteri; Cyprinodontiformes; Nothobranchiidae
Source: Ensembl
AUGAUGCCCAUCUAUCCAGCAUGGGUGUGAAUUCUUCCAGCUGUGACCCACCGCUUGCGUCAUAGGUCUGCAUUCAUCAUCAGUCCAAGUCGUGCACAACCCUGCUUGUGUCCCGGGGCGAGAUGUAAACAUCAGCCGCCGUGAAAAGCUUGUGGCCUUCAGGCGUGCCCAUCCUACCAUUUGAAGGGUUUGUGACUAGACAUCUUGACCUUUCUGUGAAUGACUUUGUCAUUUCUCAGUUUGUGACCUCUGCUAAUACGGUGGCCGACUCUUUUCUUCUUUCACAGGGGUGUGACUCUGUCCCUGGCCCCUGUGCUCUCUUUUCUGUGACUUCUCUUUCAGGUGACCACGAUGGCGCAGAAAAUCCUGCGGUUUCCAGUAGUCCUGUGGUCAGUGGCGAUAUUGAAGGAGGCUCGGUGGUUGCUGAGUUCACCUCUCUCACGGGCACGGGAUGGCCACCCGGUCCGCGAGCAGUAGAACCUCCAAGUCCAACACCUCCAGGUCUUUGGACAUCUGAACAUCUGCUCUUUCAGCACGAUCCUGGUGACAAUGUGCAUCUUCUUGGUAAUAGGGCUUUUCAGAGCUUAAGAACUGUGGUUUGUUAUGCUUCUCCUGUCUCACAGACACGGCGUAAGUUUGAGAAACAAAAGGGGGGUGGGGAGCCUCCUCCUGCUUUGCGAGCAUCAUUUUCGCAUCUCCAGUUCACUACUAUUUCUGAUCACAGCAAAGUCGCCUCCGUUAAGCUGCAACUCAACUUUGAGCAGGUAAAAUCAGGUUCUGAUCUAACAGCUAAACCAUCAGCUUCACUCCAGUUCCAAACGGGUCCUACAGGUAAAUUCAAACAAGUUUCCCUGUGGGUUCGCAACACCAGAUUCAAACCGCUUACUGAACGAAUCAAUUCUGACCGGAUUCUUUUCCACUAAAUGGUGGUGUUACAAAUUCAAUCUUUGUUGGAUGAAUUUUUAACAAAUGUGAUAUCCUUUGAAUUUUUUUUACAGGUUACCUGCCUCCAGCCAGGGUCCUGUUACUAACUCAUAUUUUUAGGGAUUACUAACCUACUGAUUUACAUUUUUAGAACUGAUUUACACCUCUAUCUUUUAUUAGUGCUUUGUGUAAUGUGGUUGCUGUUGAUUACAUAUUUUAACUUGUUAAAAUUUUCCUUAAAGGGCUACAAGCCUAUUUGCCCUUCAUUUUCUUUUUUUUUUUGUAUAUGCCUUUAAUCAGUGCAGCCUAAUGAGUUUUACAUAUCAGUUAGGAUUUAAUUUAUUUUAUUUGUGUUUUCUCUGCAUCACCUUUUUACAUGACAUGUAGAACAGGGUGCAGAACAUUUCUUCUUUAGAUAAUUCACAAAAUGCCUUCACAUUUUCCCAGAGGUACCCAUAGAUAGGUUUUUGAUCAUUUCUUUGAUUUGCAUCGAGCGCGAUCUAUCGUUUGGGCUGUCUCACUUUGUCUCCUUCUCCGAGCUCGUCCGGCCUUCGAUGUCUGCUUCCAUUCCAUGGGGGUCUCCGCCAUCUGAGGGUCGUCUUCACCUUCCUCCACCUGGGUUCCUUUCGCAUGGGGCUUCGGUCGUGGUUCGAGAUGGGUCGAGGUCGUCACUGGACUUCGCCUGGACUACGCCCGAGGGUUACAUCACCUGCCCAGCUCCGUGUGGACGCACGGGCUACCUUAUCCUUUGAAUAUACCUUUGAAUAGUUGCUGAUGAAAAUUAACUGCUAUUGAAAUAACUCUGCUUUCAAGAUUUCCUAAGUGAAUUACUUUACAAUGAUUUGCAACAGUUUUGGCCUUAAUCAUCUGGUCAGGAUAUACUCCUUUCUACACGAGACCUGUGGAGACGCUUCAUCGCUCCUGCCUUCAUCUGGAACAUGCAUGUCUACCUACAUGAGUUCAUCACGUUAAUGAGGUCACGACGUCAGGUGGUUUUUGCUUGACCACCAUGUCGUCGCGAAAGGGGGGAGUUGUAACGUGAGGAAAUAUGGGUUUUCUGUCACAAAGGUGGUGUUGGACUCAGCUGGGUCAAAGCUGGGUCGCUGAGAACUUUCACCCACAGAUUAAGACCUGAACGCCAGCGAGUCUGGGAGGAAACCAUAACAUCUGCCACCUGCAGCUUCGUGCCAGAUGAUGUUGUUCCCACAGAAGAUGUUGUUCCCAUAAAUGUAGUCAUAACAAGUCUUAAAACUUCCUUUCUUUAUUUUAAUGUUAAAGAAUAAUAAUUAUCAUUUUGCUCAUUAUAAAUGUGGUUUAAUCAAAUGAAUGAUUCUUAUGCUUUGGGUAAUUAUAAUGGAUUAAUGAAUCCAUACUUAAUUAGAUAAUGUUUGAGGAUGUUUGUUAGCGACCUUCACACACACACACUCAAGCACACACACACUCAAACACACCCACACGCAGAUUCUCACAGUAAACUCCAAAACACGUUUGCUGACGCACACGUUUGCUUUGAGAAGAGAAAGGCUUUUGGUAAGUUUCAUGCUUAAGAUUUCAGUUCGUGCUUGACAACGAAAGAGAGAGGACGUGUGAACAACCGCUAACGGGGGAACGGAGCCCACCGGCUCAAUCCCCCCCCCC